UUUGUUCAGAAAUUGGAGUUGCUAUAUUUUGAUCCAAAUGAAAAAUAAAAACUUAUAAUGAAGGAUGGAUGGGUGUCAUUUUCCCUUAUAGUUUUUAUAUUGCUUCGUAGAUGAUUGUAUUUAUUUUUUAUGCGAUCAAGCCUCAAUUCUUGUAUCUUUUAUGGCACCAUUUUAAUAGAACUUGAUCGAUACUUGCAGUUUUUCUGCCAAAACAAUUAUAGGGCGGCAUACAAAUUUUGUAGAGGUUACUUUGUAUAGCCUAAUUCAAGAUUUCUUUUUUCUUUGACUUUUGACAUGCAAUUCUUAUUUUGACCAUUAAAUGGAAAUUAAUCAUGCAUUUUCUCAGUAGUGUGAUGCUUAUUUGGCUUUUGACAUGCAAUUCUUGUAGAGAUGAUGCUUUUGGGAUUCAUUUCACUCGUACUCACUAUCAGGUGUCAAGGAAGCUCAUGUGAGCCAAAUAGUCAGCAAAGCAGAGGAUUAUAACAGCAGCAACUUACAGCUGCGAGUUGAUGAUUUGGACUGCCAGCUGGCACCUGGUGGUUAUAUAAUUUCUUGUACUCGUAACUGAUUAGUUGUAGUUUGUUAAUAAGCUGCUGCAUGAUUAGCAUGUGAGAUUAGUUUAGCUAGUAUGGUUAAUCAGUUACGUGAGUAUAUAAAGCAAAGGCAGCACAUUUCCUCUGUAAUCUUGUUGAAAGAAAUAAAAACAAAUUCUCAGAUUCUUAUCAUUUUCUCUCAAUAUUUCUUAGUCAUCAAACAAGCUGUUUUGUCACUUGGUAUCAGAGCCAAGAUAAUGGCGUCUGUUAAUCUAGUUACUUCAAAUCAGAUCCAAAAUACUCCCGCUGUUUCAACUAAUAUUUCAUUCACUUUCAAUACACCAGUGAAGCUUGAUCAAGCUAACUAUCUCAUAUGGCGAUCUCAAGUGCUUGCUUCAAUUCGUGGCAACAGACUUGAAAAGCUUAUUGAUGACUCGAUUACUCCUCCUCCAUCUCACAUUGCUCAAAGAGUUGGAGAUGACGUCAGAUCUGUGGAGAAUCCAGACUUUAUAUCUUGGAGAUCUCAGGAUCAAGUGCUGCUUGGAUGGUUACUCUCUUCAAUGAGUGAAGGAAUCAUCAGUCUAGUCUUCAAUCUGGAGACAUCACGUGAGGUUUGGAAAGCUGUUGAGGUACAAUUUGGUUCUCAAUCCAAAUCACGACUGUUACAUCUAAGAUAUAUGAUGAAUUCUACUAGAAAGGAUGAUAUGAAAAUCACAGAUUACUUCAUUAAAAUGAAAAACAUAUCUGAUAAUAUGGCUGCAGCAGGAAGUGCCUUGAGUAAUGAUGACUUAAUUUUGCAUGUGUUGUCUGGUUUAGGACCAGAUUAUAAUUCAGUAGCUACCUAUAUAACUGGUCAAGUAGGAACUGGAAAAAUGGAUCUGAAUGAAGCUUAUGCAAUGCUUUUAACUCAAGAAGUUAGGAUUGAACAACAGUCUCAUAUGCUAGCUGGUACAGAUAUGAAAAAUAACUUUGAAGCAAAUUUUGCUCAAAACAGAGGACCUAAGAAAGGAAACAUGUUCAAUGGAAAAGGUUUUGGUGGUUAUGGCUAUAAUUCUGGUUCUGGAAAUAACUAUAACUCAGGCUUUAGCAAUAAUGGUUAGUACAAAGGAAACUUUGGUACUGAGUUUGCUGGUACUGGUUUUAACAAUCAGUUCAAAGGAUACCAGUCCAGUAAUCAUGGAGGGGGAGGAGGAGGUAACUGGAAUAACAACAAUGGACCAAGUAACUUUAACAGUGGCAAACCAUCUGUGAAUCCUAAGCCACAAUGGAAUGCAUCAAAGCCUACCUGUCAAAUUUGCCUCAGGCCUGGACACACUGCAAAUAUUUGCUGGAAACUUGAAGAGUUUAUUACUUCAGGUGCUUACAAACCACCACCAAAUAGAGGACCUAAGGCAGCUUAUCUGGCUAACAUGGAUGCUCCAGUUGACAACAAUUGGUAUCUGGAUAGCGGAGCCACACAUCACCUCACAAAUGAUAUGAAUAAUGUGAAUGGUGUUGAACCUUUUGCAGGUAAUUCCAAACUUAUUGUUGGAAAUGGUGUUGGUUUGUGCAUAACACACAUAGGUUCUGUUGUUCUAAGAAUGCCUGAUGAUCUGAAUUAUUCUGAUCUUAAGCUAAACAACAUUCUACUUGUUCCAAAAAUAACCAAAAACCUGAUAAGUAUUUCCCAAUUAACCAAAGAUAAUAAUGUUGUGGCUGAAUUUACUGAUAGUUUCUGUUUUGUGAAGGACAAGGUGAAGAAUUCAGUUAUGCUACAGGGCAAAGCUGAAAAAGGUUUAUAUAGAUUGUUGUGUGUUUCCUCAACCAAGUCCUCUGCUUCACAGUCAAACCAAGGUCUUCUUACUCAUGUCGAGUCAGCUGUUUCAAAUCAGCCAAUUUCAAUGUUUUCAACUGUUGUUUCAAAAUUUCCAAAUAAAACUGCUUGCUGUUUGCAUACAGAAGCACUAUGUUGUCAAACUCCUAGUUGUAUGUUGAAUACUAUGGUAUUACAUCAGAGACUAAGGUGCUUAGUCAUGUAAUCAAUUCUUGUUCUUCCUUAAAGAAUGUCAGUGGUAAUAAAACAAUCGAUUCCUGUGAUGCUUGUAAGAUGGGAAAAAUGCAUAAACUUCAUUUUUCAAUUACUGAAACCAAAACCAAAAAUCCUUUGGAACUUCUACAUACUAAUCUAUGGGGACCUUCUCCCACACCUUCUAUCCAAGGAUACAAAUACUAUGUUAGCUUUGUGGAUGACUUCACAAGGUUCACCUGGAUUUUCCCUUUGAAAACCAAAGCUGAUACAUUUCAAGUGUUUAAAAUCUUUAAAGCUCAGGUGGAAAAACAAUUGGAUAAGCCUAUUAAAUGUCUUCAGUUAGAUUGGGGUGGGGAAUACAGAUCUUUUGUUCAUUUUCUUCAUGAAACAGGAAUACAAUUUAGACAUUCAUGCCCUUAUACACACAAUCAAAAUGGUCUUGUAGAAAGAAAGCAUAGGCACAUCACUGAGUUGGGUUUAACUUUACUUGCACAAGCUAAAAUACCCAUCAAAUUCUAGUGGGAUUCUUUUCAUACAGCCACUUACAUUAUUAACAGAUUACCAACUCCUGUUCUUUCCAUGAAAACUCCCUAUGAAUGUCUCUUUCAUUUGCUACCUGAUUAUCCUUUUCUCAAAACUUUUGGUUGUGCUUGUUUUCCAUUCUUAAGAGAUUACAAUCGUCACAAGUUUGAUUUCCAUACAUCCAAGUGUGUCUUCCUAGGAUACAGUCCAUUACACAAAGGUUACAAGUGUCUUCAUCCAUUAGGGAAAACUUAUAUAGCCAGCCAUGUUCUUUUUUAUGAAACCUCUUUUCCAUACUCUACUGAUUCACAUUUUUUGAAGUCCUUGCCACCUAAGGUGUCUGACUUCCAAUACAAUUCUCUACAGUUUUACAAUAUUUCAGUUCCUCAUAGCAAUCUAAAACCUUUUGAAGCUGCUGCAGCAGACACUGAUUCUCAUACUUCUAGUUCUAAUUACAAUAUCAUGUCACCUUCCUUCUCUACUCAUCCUGUUUCUUCUACUGAUACCAUAUCCUCACCUAUUAUUUACACCACAUCUCCUAUCACAACUCCAAACACUACAUCUUCACCCAUCAUCCAUCACCACUCUCCAGAAUUUCCUAUAACACAUCAGGUUCCUUUACACACAUCACCUUCCAGACCAUCUUUCUCCUCUGCUCAUCCUAUGAUUACCAGAGCUAAAGCUGGUAUCUUCAAACCUAAGGCAUUCUUAACAGCACAUAAUAGCUUAGAGCCUUCUAGUGUUGAUGAAGCUUUAGCUGAUCCUAAGUGGCAAGCUGCAAUGCAACUGGAAUAUGAUGCACUUAUUCAAAACAAAACCUGGAGUCUAGUUCCAAUGGAUCCAGCUUAUAAACUGGUGGGUUGUAAGUGGGUUUUCAGAACAAAGUAUAAUCCAGAUGGCUCAGUCUCUAAGUAUAAGGCUCGGUUGGUUGCUAAGGGUUUCCAUCAGACAGCUGGGGUUGACUAUUCAGAAACUUACAGUCCUAUAGUUAAGUCUUCCACUGUCAGAGUUAUACUGAGCUUAGCAGUCAUGCAAGACUGGAAUGUUAGACAAAUAGACAUCAACAAUGCCUUUCUUAAUGGGGAUCUCACUGAAGAUGUGUUCAUGCAACAGCCAGAGGGUUUUGUUUCAGGGGGAGGCUACGUCUGCAAGCUAAACAAAGCCCUUUAUGGUUUAAAACAGGCACCAAGGGCCUGGUAUGAUAAACUUAAGGGCUGUCUUACUGAUUGGAAGUUUACAAACGCUAAGGCUGAUACCUCACUGUUUAUUAGGCAUGACAUUAAAGGCAUAAUCUUUGUUUUGAUCUAUAUAGAUUAUAUUCUAGUCACAGGACCAGAUUCAGUCUUGCUGGAGGCUUUCAUCACAAACUUGAGUAAAGUAUUUGCCUUAAAAGACUUAGGUCUGGUUUCAUACUUCCUUGGUAUAGAAGUCAGCUACACAGAUCAUGGAAUGCAUCUCUCCCAAACUAAGUAUAUCAAGGAUUUGCUAGCUAAAGCAUCAAUGCAGAACUGCAAAGAGACAGAAACUUCUUUCAGCACAGGCUACAAAUUAGAAAGAACAGCUAAAGGUCUUUUGGGUGCAGAAUUUGAAAAUCCAACUCUCUACAGAAGUAUAGUUGGAGGACUUCAAUACUUGAUCUUAACCAGACCAGACAUUGCCUAUUCAGUACAUAAACUUAGCCAGUAUCUAUGUGCCCCAACUCUCCAACAUUGGUUAGCUUGUAAAAAGGUGUUGAGAUAUUUACAAGGAACUAUUACACAUGGUCUUUAUAUUCAGCAAGAGGGGACUUUGGAAACAAUUGGCUUGACAGGGUAUUCAGAUGCUGAUUGGGCGUGUGAUAUUGAUGACAGAAAAUCCAUUGGAGCUUACUGUAUUUUCCUUGGCAAUAAUCUAGUUUCCUGGUCUUCGAAAAAGCAAGCUAUUGUAGCAAAGUCUAGCACUGAAAGUGAAUACCGACCAUUGUCGGCAGCAAGUUCAGAGCUUACUUGGCUACAGUCCUUGUUUUCUGAGCUGAAGAUUAUCAAGUUGCCAACUUCUGUUCUCUGGUGUGAUAAUCAGAGUGCAGGUGAUCUAGCUAAAAAUCCAGUAUUUCACUCUAAGUCCAAACAUAUAGAGCUGGAUGUUCAUUACAUUAGAGAUAAGGUUCUGAAUAAGGAGUUAGAAGUAAGGUACAUUCUCACUGAAGAGCAAGUGGCAGAUGUUCUUACUAAGCCUCUGUCAUUUCCAAAAUUUAGUUAUUUUCGUUCCAAGCUCAAUGUGAUCAACAGACCCUUGAGCUUGAGAGGGGAUGUCAAGGAAGCUCAUGUGAGCCAAAUAGUCAGCAAAGCAGAGGAUUAUAACAGCAGCAGCUUACAGCUGCGAGUUGAUGAUUUGGACUGCCAGCUGGCACCUGGUGGUUAUAUAAUUUCUUGUACUCGUAACUGAUUAGUUGUAGUUUGUUAAUAAGCUGCUG
RNAcentral lists this long non-coding RNA (5515 nucleotides) under Citrus maxima (pomelo). Its description in RNAcentral is "long non-coding RNA (CMAX_LNC003933)". Lineage: Eukaryota; Viridiplantae; Streptophyta; Magnoliopsida; Sapindales; Rutaceae. The record is from RNAcentral.